This 701-nucleotide ribosomal RNA is filed under the name uncultured Clostridium sp. Its description in RNAcentral is "bacterial SSU rRNA". It matches the Rfam family "Bacterial small subunit ribosomal RNA", at positions 44 to 773 of the family's 1533-position model. Lineage: Bacteria; Bacillati; Bacillota; Clostridia; Eubacteriales; Clostridiaceae. The record is from RNAcentral.
GUGCCUAACACAUGCAAGUCGAGCGAUUCUCUUCGGAGAAGAGCGGCGGACGGGUGAGUAACGCGUGGGUAACCUGCCCUGUACACACGGAUAACAUACCGAAAGGUAUGCUAAUACGAGAUAAUAUGCUUUUAUCGCAUGGUAGAAGUAUCAAAGCUUUUGCGGUACAGGAUGGACCCGCGUCUGAUUAGCUAGUUGGUAAGGUAACGGCUUACCAAGGCGACGAUCAGUAGCCGACCUGAGAGGGUGAUCGGCCACAUUGGAACUGAGACACGGUCCAAACUCCUACGGGAGGCAGCAGUGGGGAAUAUUGCACAAUGGGCGAAAGCCUGAUGCAGCAACGCCGCGUGAGCGAUGAAGGCCUUCGGGUCGUAAAGCUCUGUCCUCAAGGAAGAUAAUGACGGUACUUGAGGAGGAAGCCCCGGCUAACUACGUGCCAGCAGCCGCGGUAAUACGUAGGGGGCUAGCGUUAUCCGGAAUUACUGGGCGUAAAGGGUGCGUAGGUGGUUUCUUAAGUCAGAGGUGAAAGGCUACGGCUCAACCGUAGUAAGCCUUUGAAACUGGGAAACUUGAGUGCAGGAGAGGAGAGUGGAAUUCCUGGUGUAGCGGUGAAAUGCGUAGAUAUUAGGAGGAACACCAGUUGCGAAGGCGGCUCUCUGGACUGUAACUGACACUGAGGCACGAAAGCGUGGGGAGCAAAC